Molecule: ribosomal RNA, 492 nt
Filed under: uncultured bacterium
Lineage: Bacteria
Description: partial 16S ribosomal RNA
Rfam family: Bacterial small subunit ribosomal RNA
Source: RNAcentral
AGUGAACGCUGGCGGUAGGCCUAACACAUGCAAGUCGAACGGCAGCACAGUAAGGGCUUGCUCUUACGGGUGGCGAGUGGCGGACGGGUGAGGAAUACAUCGGAAUCUACUUUUUCGUGGGGGAUAACGUAGGGAAACUUACGCUAAUACCGCAUACGACCUACGGGUGAAAGCAGGGGAUCUUCGGACCUUGCGCGAUUGAAUGAGCCGAUGUCGGAUUAGCUAGUUGGCGGGGUAAAGGCCCACCAAGGCGACGAUCCGUAGCUGGUCUGAGAGGAUGAUCAGCCACACUGGAACUGGGACACGGUCCAGACUCCUACGGGAGGCAGCAGUGGGGAAUAUUGGACAAUGGGCGCAAGCCUGAUCCAGCCAUACCGCGUGGGUGAAGAAGGCCUUCGGGUUGUAAAGCCCUUUUGUUGGGAAAGAAAAGCAGCAGGUUAAUACCCCGCUGUUCUGACGGUACCCAAAGAAUAAGCACCGGCUAACUUCGUG